RNAcentral lists this ribosomal RNA (253 nucleotides) under uncultured bacterium. RNAcentral describes it as "partial 16S ribosomal RNA". It matches the Rfam family "Bacterial small subunit ribosomal RNA", at positions 524 to 776 of the family's 1533-position model. The record is from RNAcentral.
UACGUAGGCAGCGAGCGUUGUUCGGAGUUACUGGGCGUAAAGCGUGCGUAGGCGGUGUCUUAAGUUUGUUGUGAAAUCUCCCGGCUUAACCGGGAGGGUGCGGCGAAUACUGAGAUGCUGGAGUGCCGGAGAGGUAAGCGGAAUUCCUGGUGUAGCGGUGAAAUGCGUAGAGAUGUGGAGGAACACCGAUGGCGAAGGCAGCCCCCUGGGCUAACACUGACGCUCAUGCACGAAAGCGUGGGGAGCAAACAGG